AUCAAUAUGGCUGAAUAGGUGUAAGUCUGUAAAACUUGUUAUAAAUUAAAAUUUUGUUGAUA
This 62-nucleotide transfer RNA is filed under the name Austropallene cornigera. Its description in RNAcentral is "tRNA-Tyr". Lineage: Eukaryota; Metazoa; Arthropoda; Pycnogonida; Pantopoda; Callipallenidae. The record is from RNAcentral.